RNAcentral lists this long non-coding RNA (15163 nucleotides) under Lactuca sativa (garden lettuce). Its description in RNAcentral is "long non-coding RNA (LSAT_LNC000920)". Lineage: Eukaryota; Viridiplantae; Streptophyta; Magnoliopsida; Asterales; Asteraceae. The record is from RNAcentral.
GUUUAUCUUGGUGGAAAUUGGUGAAUCGUCAUUCACCUACCUUCAAAUAUUUUAUAGCUUGGAUUACGGCAUACCUCUUCUAAGUUAUAAAAUAGUUUGUUGGGUCCUAGCCUUAAUAUUUCAUAUUGGGUGUUAUAUUAAGGACUUAAGAUCAACUAUCUUGAAUAUCUCCCAAAAGAUGUCUGGUUUAGACAUUUAUGAUCUUCCUAAAUCUCUUGAAACAAGCUUUCCUUAAUGAAGAUGAUGUCCCAUGGAAAUCAUACUUCUUUCACCUCCUCCAAUUAUUCUCCCCAACCCACAAGUUCUUGAAAAGUUUAAGGUCACUCAGGCCCUAUUGGCAGGGCAAGGACUAGGUAUGGUCACAUCUUGGAGAUGUAGUCACAUAUUGACAAGCCGGGAAAGUUGGGUGUCAAAGUCUUGAGAAAGUUGGUGGUUCAAUAACUUUUUGAGUUACAUAGUGAGUUCCUUUGGGACACCUAUGAAAAAGACUAUGACAAGACCCUUAACGAUCUUAUCUAUUUGUUAAGAUCAACUUCCUUAAAACUUUAUGGACACUAACAAUGAUGACAUUGGAUAUUUAGUAAAGCUUUCUCUUCCCAAUGGAAAGGGAUCGGCCAUAGUCAACUCGGUUGACCAAAUGGUAAAGAGAAAAGCUAAGUCUGUGAUAGUCUCGUGUACCAUUAUCAAAGGGUCCAUAUGUUUAUAUUGCCAAAGGAAGGGGCAUUGGUUGCGAAGCUGCCAAAUUUACCUAAGGAUGUUAAAGUCAAUAAGUUUGACUCUACUUCAGGUAAAGUCCACUAUCUAACUCUGUUAAGUUUCUAUUCUGAGAUUCUUGAUACAUGAUGUGACUGGGUCACAUGGUGAUGUUUUAAGAAUCAAAGAAAAGUGAAGAAACUUAAAGAAAGAAUAUGCUGAAUCUGAUCGCGUAGAUGGAUUUCUAUCGCAUAGUUUGAAGAUCGGAUUCUUGAGCUACUUCUUAAGAGUUAUGAGAUAUUGCUUAGGAAUAUAUAAUAACAAAGUUUUCAUGUGCUUUUGCACUGUAAGGAUAAGUUUUUUCCGCAAAGUUUUAAAAUGAAAGAAAAUUUUUGUGAAUUUAUUUAUUUUAAAAUAUCCUUACAAUGGCAAUUCAGGGAAAAAUGUUGCUUAUAUGAUUCCAUUAAUAGCAAAAGUGGAAAUAUGAAAUUGAUUCUUUCAUUUGUGGUAAUGUCUAAAUUUACCAAAUAAGGAAAGAUUCUCAUCACCCAAGUUUCAAUUGGACCGGAACUUGGAAUCAUGCAAGUUGUAUAGCAUGAUGAAUGAGAACUUUCAAGUAUUGGAAAAUUAAGACUAAUUACUUGUUCACAUGGAUGUGUGAGUCAAGUAAAGGACUUAGGGAUCGAGUACACAUUCUUGUGCACUGGUUAAGUCCACCACUAAAGAUCGUUAAGAAGAAUCAAAUUAGGCAGAAGGAUAAAAGUUUCUCAUAUCUGAAAAGAUGGGAGAGUACUUUAGUAUCAGUUUUGAGAUCAUCUUAAUGAUUAAGAAACCAUAUCAAAAUUAGUUCUCUAAGGAAAUCUUAGUGCAUUCUUAUGACUAAGAAGAGGGAACUUGAAUUGUUGAAAUGGUUAAAUCAAGAAGAUGAGUCAUACUUCGUUCCAAAACAAUUUUUAGAGUCAUACUCCAAGAUUGUAACUUGAGUGACAUGUCUUAAAGAAGGUUUAAAACACUUGUCAAAUGUAAGAGUAAAAGUUUUCUACUCUUGUACAUUUGAAAUUGGUAAGUUGUGAUGUUUUGGAUAAAACAAAGACCAACUUAGGCCAAUUGGGUAAAGUGUUUUUCUUGAUUAGAAUCCGCACUAUCUCUUGGAUGUUUGACAAGGGAGUCUUAUAUGUCAAGAGGACAGUGGGAGUCUUAAAGGUCUUGAAAGUCUCAAGAACUAAUCAAGAAUAAAACCUGAAGUUCUUCACUAGCACACGACUUGAGGUUUAUAACCUAUCGUGUUGACAUAUUCUGUGCCCAUUCCAGUUAAAGUUGGCUUUGCAUAUGAGUUCUUAGAGUUCUCAAUUUGUUGCACAACAACUUGGAAGCAAUGGCAGGCCCUUGAGCUGCCAGGUGGCAAGAAAUUAAGAUUGAGUUCAGUCCAUAUGAGUUUGGAUUUGUCAUUAUCCUUGUCUUGUGACUAUGGUUUUGACAAUUCACAUGGAUAAGAACACAUACACCAUUAAAUCUAAGUGUCAUAAGGUUUCUCUCCGAUUCAUGAAAAUGAUGGUGAGGAAACACUUUCACUAAGUAGAUUUUAGCUAGAUAGCAAUUGUGAUAUUUGCAUUCUCAAAGUCGUUAGUGGAGCGUGUGUGGUUUACCGGCACACUAACCUGGACUUGUGAGAAGUGGCAAAAAGGUCUAACCAUUAUGAUUACGGCAUCCCUCUUCAUAAUUGUUUAGACACACAAGUGUGCUAUCUAAGGGAAGGUGUAUGAUUUUGAUAAAGUUUUAUCAAAACAAUCUAGUAUCAGAAAUCUGAACUUUGGUAAGAAAGUCAAUGAAGUAUUGAUUUCUAGAAGUCCAGCUGAUUUCUGAGUACAUGUCAAAGCUAGUGGGAGCAUAAGUGUUAUGCUAAUAAUCAUCAUGUUAGUGGGAGCAUGAUAAUUAUGAUAAGUAUUGCAAGUUAGCAAUGUUAAUUAUAGAAAACAAAAGUUUCAAUUGGGAAAAAGUUGUUUUGCUAUAAUUAAGGGAGAGGAAAUUAUACUUCAUCUCAAAUCUAUAAGCUUAGAUCGUGAGGUUUUAAUCAUUUAGUCAAGGAUAUAUAUGAAUUUCAUGUUGGAAUGGCUCAACAUAAGGAAAUUCUGUAUAUGGGUCCAUUAUUUGCGUUCUAAAAUUCGAUUAUGAUUACGGCAUCCCUUUUCAUAAUCUGAAUUAUGAGAACUUGGCAAAUUGAAAUGGAAAUAUUAUAGCAAAAGACUGGUUUAGUCUUUAUGUGAGACAUCAUGAAUCGUGUCCCAUAUGCUUCGGAUAUAGGAUCGAUUACAUGUGCUAUAUUCAUCCGUUCUAAAAUUUUCCAAAUGCCUGGGGCAUUAAGAAGGGAAAAGGUUUAGAACUGGAUAUGACUAAAAGGAUUAAACAAUUGUCGAGGACAAUCUAAGGUUUACCAAAGAUUGGUUGCUCAAGGACAGUUGGAAGUAUAGUGAUAAUUCUGGAAGGACCAUAUUGACAUAAUCUGUAAGGAGGCAACUCUUGUUCAGAAGUGAUAGUCAAAAUGGAAUCUGGAAAUGUUUCAAAGUUAGAAUUUUCAAUCUGUUUAAGAUUAGGAAACUUAAUGCAAGAAGGAUGUUUCCAAGGAGCUGAUCUCCUUUGGAAUACUCUGUAAUGAUUGUUGUCAAGUCUUUCUGACUUUGUGCAUAAUCAUUACAAGAGGAUCAAUGCAUAUAAGUUUAGAAUCUAACAGAUUUCAGUAAAUGGCAUGAAUUUGGAAUUCUUGCAUUUGCAGUAAGGAUUUGGGAGUGUGAAAAGAGAAUCAUUGAAGUUAUGUUCAAUUGAUCUAGUUCACAAAGUAAAGAUCAUAGACAAACAUAGUAUGCAUACUUGGUGUGUGGCAUGACUAGUGUUUAAGAAAACAUAGUGUACAUGCUUGGAGCAUGGGACAACUAUUGUUUUAAAUUCAAGAAUAAAGUUGAUAGCUGAAACAGUAUACAAUGAAUAAUGUGUAAUCAUAUGGUGAUAAAUAAAAGGUGUUUUAUUUAUGUUCAUAAGUUUUGAUACCAUAUUGGAUUCAAUUAUUAUUGUGUUUCACUUUGCAUGUUUUGACUUCCCGAAUAAACUAGGUUAUUCUUCCGGAAUGACUAAGUUAUUCAAACCAUCCACAGUCGGUCAUAUGUUGGAAGUAGAUAUGAAUUAAGACUGUCAUGGGUUGGCUUGUAGAGGUCUAAGGUGUUGGACAAAGGGCUACAACACUCAUGAGUGCUCAUAAGUUCUGAGUAUUGGAUUCAACCCGCGCUCAUUGGAAUCACUUCAUGGAUUUUAUCACGAGUGAUCAUGAGACGAUAAUAUCUUAUAUUCUUCAAACCUAGAGAUAUGAGUUGUUACUAUGAGUUGAUAGUACAUUGAUUGCACGAAAACGCAUUUGGUAACUCGGUGCUAUAAAACGUGCCUUUGUGUAUGAUUCAACAAGUAGUAGAACAAGCCAUAUGAGUCGAAGUUUAUCCAUUCCUUUUACCUUCGGGAUAAAAGCGAUAUCUGUGGGCCCCUCGAUGAUUUGAUGAUGACAAAUGGAAGUGCUCGGCCGGGCCAGGACUGAUUUGAUUUGUUCAAUUAGUCAGUCGUCAUAAAUCGGAAAUCGGGAAACAACAAAUGGACAGAGAGAAUGAUUAUAAUCCAUGUCUCAGUCCAUAUGAUAUCUAGAAUGGAGGAAUAUAUGAUCCCUUAUCUAAUGGACAAGUCAUUGACAAAGGUCAGAGUUCAUCUACAAGGUCAGAGUUCGACAGAAGCUUUUGAGAGCUACGAUUGCCAGUUGGUUCCUGAAGUCAUACGCAAUAAUAGUUUUAGACUUAUCCAAGUGGGAGACUGUUGGAUUAAUGUCUAAGUCCAUAACUAUAAUUGGCAAGACUUGACCGGACCCGGCAUGGUCCAUUUGGGUUGCAUACCAUCAUGCAUUUGGAUAGACUAUAAUGAGAGAAAUAAGACACUUAUGGUUAUUAAUAUAUUAUAAGUUCUAGUAUAUUAAUAAUAAGAAUAAUAAGAUUAUUUAAUUAGUAUUGAUCAAGAAUUAAUCUAGGAUUAAUUAAGUGAUCAAAAGAAGACUAAUUAAAUAUAUGGGUUGAUUGUGUAAAUCAUCCAUACUUGUAUAGUGGGCUAAUGCUCCAUGGAUAAUCAAGUUGGGCUAAAACCCAUAGGAUGGUCCAUGGAUGCUCCAUGGUGUAUUUGUACCCAUGGAUCAUGGAAAUGAAAGGCCAUGUCAAUUAGGGUUUACAUGAUGUAACCCUAACUAUAUAAGCAUCUUAUUCUUGACCAAAUCGGCCACUAGAGUGAGAGUAAGAAAGGGCUAGCCGAUUUCUUGAGUUGUAGAAUUCUCUCAAGUUAUUCUAAGUGUUUUGGUGAUUGUGAUUCCAUUUGAGGCUUCCACACUAUUGGGGCUAGGCACUCAAGCUUCAUGAAGACUUUCUACAUCAAAGAGCUAUGUAUUCUAUCUUGUUACACUCAUUGUUUUUGUAUGCUAGAUUAGGAUUAUACCUUGGAUGUUCUUAUUUGUAUGUAUAAUAGAGAAAACAUAGAUCCAAGGUAUUUAGGGUUGCAUGUACACUUAGGAGUGUUAGAAUGCUUAAAACCCAACAUCAGUUGCUUCUACUGCAGGGGAAAGAAUCGCUAUGCAAAGGAUUGUGUGCUGAAGAAGAUGGAUGAGAAGGAUGAGGAGAAAGAUGAAAAGUCAAUUCUUAUGAAAAAAGCUGGAGGAGAGUAAAAGGAAGAAAGCUACUACUAAUCCCUCUAUGAAUGCUCUUAUUGUGCAGGGUUCGGCAGAUGAUGACGAGUUCGGUGGCGUACAGGUAUGGUCGACCGAUUCAGAAGACGAUUGGGUGAGAAAGCCUUCGCAUGGAAAGGCUUAUGUUGCAAAAGAUGAUGAAACCAACGGAAGAUGUCUGACGUAUCUCAGAUGAGGGGAUAUAAUACUGAUGCUGGAAAUGACGAGGCCAAGGAGCGAAAGGACUUAUGCUUUACAGCAAACCUCUCAGUGUGCAGAUCAGUGAACUUGAUGAACUGAUCAAAAAGUUACAAUCUGUUUUUAUUUCGUUUAAAAUUCCACAAAAAUCAUAUGAAAAGGAAUUAAAUAACUUGAAUUCAAGACUUUCAAAUCUAGAUAAUUGUUUAACUCAAACUCGAGUCAUAAAUUCUAAUCUGACUGACCAAAUAAGCAGGGUGUCAUCCAAGAGUGAGGAGCAAAGGAUGUGGAUUGAGCAGAAGGAGUCGGAGGUAAUUAAGUCUAGGGAUGAAAAAAUUUAUUUACAAAGAGACAAUUUGAAAUUGUUAAAACAAAGGAAUGUUUUUUGUUUGAUCGCUAAAAGACUUUAUGCUAACAUUACUCAACUGCAUCUAAAUUGUGAAAUAGGGCAGAAGAUACAUCGCAUGAUUCUACCCUUCCUUGAGUUUAAGGAGGAUGAAAUCGAUGCCGAAGCAUACAACUGUGAAAGUGUUUUAUCUUCCGAUGAUGUCAAUCCCACUUAUAUGUAUGGUCUGGACAAAAUAGAAUCUUUUAUAAAGUCCAAAGACCAUAAGGACAUGCUUAAAAAUCUUUUGGAUGAAAACGAUAAGCUGAAACUCAGGACCGAAACCAUACAAAAAUUCGACUCAUUGAGUGCCAAUUUAAGUUCAGAAAAAAAAAAUUGAUGUUGAAAAUGCAUCUGAACUUGAUGAGGAUGAUGAUAUGAGUGAAAUUUCUAUAGAGGUUGAAGUCGACUGUUGUGAGUUUGUCAAGAGCGAACCGGAAAACCACAAAAAUCUGAUUUCUAAAAACUCUGUGGAAUUCGCUCGUUUGUCUAAAACUAAGUCCCCAUCCCUUAAAGAAAAGGCCGUUGUAUUUCAGAAGGUUAGAACCACUCCCAAUCAGGUGUAUAAGCUUACAGGAGUAACUGAACAUCAAACAGCCGAACUUACUGCCAUAGUGAAUGAAGACAAUGCAGACGGCUGUGAUGAGUUCUUCUGGUCAGCUCCUAUAGACAAUGCAGACGAAACGGUUGGUCUGUCGGAGCAAACAUCUUGGAAGACCAAAUGAAGAUAUGUGCCGGAACCGCUGAAUAAGCCUACCAACUUUGACGUACCUGGUACACGUGGAAAAGAAGAAAUACCUGUAGAAGAAGUCACCUCCACAAGCGAAUCCUCAUCUAUGAAAAGUGAACCAACUAUCAAGAAGCUAAAACAAAAAGCCAAUAUCCACAGACAACCGAAACAGGUGAAAAUCAAAAGCUGCAGAGAAAUCUUAGAAAGAAAAAGAAUCUCUCAGAGCGAAAGCAGUUUUGGCACUCUCAAAAUCCUCAUUACUCUUACCAUGAUAAAGAUUCUAAGUCAGAGAGAAAGAUUUUCGGGCCACAUGAAGCACAGAACCGAAAGGAUAGGUUAGGUCCCGAAACCAGCAGCAACCGAAAAGCGAGUUUCGGUCCGCCAAGUAAUAACAGGCAAAGACCUAAUUUCAGUCCUUGAAGCUUAAACAACAACCAAAAAUCCAACUUCGGCUCAUCAUCGAGCAGCUACCGAAGGUCUAGGUUCGGUCCCUCUAAUGACCAUGAACAAAAAGGUCAUUUCAAACCUCAAGUCAGGAAAAACUCUCAUUCUAAAUUCUCUUUUUCUAAUUCUUCUCAUUCUAAACUCUCUUCUAAACCCAAUUCAGUCUCCACACAAAAUUCAAGAUCAUCAACGAACUUGACCGGAAAAAUGAAGAUUUCCUCAGUCGAGAAGAACUGAAAGCAGUCUAGUGCUCAAACACCAGAAUCUGAAUCCAAAACACCUGUAGCUAAUUCUAACAAAAUCAAAGUGUUUACUAUUAAAAGAAAAGAUGAAACAACCUUAGUUAAACGCACAUAUCUUGUUGACAUUUCUCUUACUAUUCCUGUUCCUGUGAAAGGCUCACGUGAACCCAAGAAACUUUGGGUUCCUAAAUCUGCUUAGUUUUUGCAGGUUAUCAGUGACGAGCAGUUCGACGAAGAAUGGUACAUUGACAGUGGCUGCUCACGUCACAUGACAGGAAGGAAGGAAGAGCUAAGGGAGUUUCGAUCUCUUCAAGAUGGUGGCAAUGUCAAGUUCGGUAACAACUCCUAUGGAACGAUAAAGGGUUAUGGGAUGAUAACCAAUGGAGACUUCACAAUAAGAAAGGUGGCGUACGUAGAAGGGUUGAAGCAUAAUCUCAUCAGUGUAUCUCAACUGGUUGGAGGUACCGGUCUUAAAGUUUCAUUCGACGAUGAAGGUUCAAAGAUUAUAGAAAAGAAAUCCAACAAAGUCAUUCUCAAAUCAGAUGGAAAAGGCGAAAUGUUUCCUCUGAAUCUCAGACCAAUCAAAGGAAAUCUAGCCAUAUGUCUUUUGUCCAAAGCUCAUUCUGACGAAAGCUGGUUGUGGCACCGAAGGCUCUCACAUCUCAACUUCAAAGACAUCAACAAGCUUGUCACUGGAGGUCAUGUUCGGGGUCUUCCAUUGCUCAAGUUUGAUCGAGAACACUUGUGCGCUGCAUGCGAAAUGGGGAAACAAAGUCGUCAAAGUCACCCAUCAAUUAUAAACACAAAAGUUGUUGAACCACUUGAGUUGCUUCACAUCGACUUGUGUGGUCCAUCAUCAAUCGAGAGCAUUGGCGGUAGCAAGUACAUUCUUGUUGUUAUUGACGACUUCUCAUGUUUUACAUGGGUAUUCUUUCUGAAGCACAAAUCUGAGGCCACUCCUAAGCUAAAGAUGUUUAUCAAGCAGGUUGAAGUGCAACUGAGAAAAGUCGUUCGAAACAUUAGGAGCGACAAUGGACUGGAAUUCAAGAACAAAUAAUUCGAAGACUUUUUGGCAGAAAAAGGAACUAGUCAUAACUUCUCAGCCCCUUACACGCCUCAACAGAAUGGUAUUGUCAAAAUUCGAAACCGAUCCUUGUGUGAGGUGGCCCGAACUAUGCUAAGUUUUGCUUCUCUUCCCUUAUAUUUCUGGGCUGAUGCUAUUGCUGCAUCAUGUUUUACGCAGAACAGGUCUUAUCUCAAUAAGCGUUUCUCUCUCACUCCUUAUGAGAUCAUCAAUAACAGGAAGCCGAACGUAAAAUUCUUCCAUGUGUUCGGUUCACGGUGCUUCAUCUUCAACUCCAAAGAACAUCAUAACAAGUUUGAUGUUAAAGCUGACGAAGGAAUUUUUCUGCGAUAUUCUCUUAUUUCAAAAGCAUACCGGGUUUUAAAUAAGCAUUCUAGAAAGAUUGAAGAAACCUAUUAUGUGACUUUUGAUGACAGCUACGUCAAGAAGCUAAAGACUACUGAAGAAGCUAUUGGAGAGAUUUUUUCUCAAAUAGGUCAAGUCGCAGCCACAAUUGCUAAUCUAUUUGAUCAAUUCGUUGAUUUGUUCGAUGAACCUGAGAAAGCCAUUCUAUCAGAAGCCAAGGCGGUACACAACAAAAUCGAUCAUCUGAAGCAAAUUGUCAAUGAUGCAGCCAAACAAAUGCGAGAAGGAGAACAAGUUCAAAACGAACCUCCUCAAGACGACACUUCAGUUGAGGGGGAGAACCUAAUUUCUUCAAAUCAACCAAACUCACACUUUCAGGGGGAGAAUUCCAUUCCAGCUACACCCGAAAGUCCUGUAUCACCCGAAAGCCCAGCUACACCCGAAAGUCCAGUAGCACCCGAAAGUCCGGCUACACCUGAAAGUUUUGUUGCACCCGAUGGUCCGAACCAACCUGAAAAUCCAAAUGAUUCAUCAUCAGUCGAGUGGGAGAAUUCCGAUAUGUUCUAUGAUGACGAUAGUCAAUCUGAAUUGGAAAAAAUGGUCAACGCCGAAUUGGAUCUAUCCUAUGAUCCAAACUAUCCUCCCCUCAUUAAAUGGACCAAAUAUCAUCCUGUAUCUCAAAUAGUGGGUAAUGUAUCUGAAAAGGUCCUGACUGGAUCCCAAGUGAAGGAAAAGCAAACCUCCCUAUUUUUCAACGUAGAGUUCUGCAUGUAUAAUUCCUUUGUAUCCAAAAUUGAGCUAAAGACCGUCAAUACUGCUCUUGAUCAUUCUGAUUGGGUUCAGGCUAUGCAAGAUGAACUCAAUGAAUUUGAAAGAAAUAAGGUCUGGCGUCUCAUUCCAACACCAAAAGAUGCCUCAGUCGUUGGUCUCAAAUGGGUAUUUAGAAACAAAAUGGACAAGGAGGGUAAUGUGAUUCGAAAUAAAGCUCGUCUCGUGGGGAAAGGAUACUUUCAGAAAGAAGGAAUUGAUUAUGAAUAUUUCUUGCCUACGCUGCACACAAGCUCGUCUCCGGUAGCAAGGCUGGAAUCUAUUCGAAUAUUUCUUGCCUACGCUGCACACAAGAACUUCGAGGUCUAUCAAAUGGAUGUGAAAUGCGCCUUUCCGAAUGGAGAACAUGAAGAAACGAUUUACAUGGAGCAACCUCCAGGUUUUGUGAAUGAAAAGCAUCCAAAUCACUAUUACAUUCUAGAAAAGGCAGUUUAUGCUCUAAAACAAGCGCCUAGGGCAUCGUAUGAAAUGCUAACUAAGUUCUUAAAGAUGUCUAAAUUCAAACAAGGUUCGGUUGACCUAACCUUCUUUCGAAAGAAGGAAGGUAACCACCUUAUGAUAGUUCAAAUCUAUGUCGAUGAUAUCAUCUUUGGCUCAACGAAUCCUAGCUUAACAGCUGAAUUCACAAAGCUGAUGGAGACUAAAUUUGAAAUGAGCUCAAUGGAUCCGAUUACCUUUUUCCUUGGUUUAAACAUUAGACAGCGACCCGAAGGCAUCUUUAUCAACCAGGAAGCAUACACCAAGACUCUUCUUGCUAAAUUUGGCAUGAUAGGAGAUUCAAAGGUCAAAGNCAAUAAUAGUUUUAGACUUAUCCAAGUGGGAGACUGUUGGAUUAAUGUCUAAGUCCAUAACUAUAAUUGGUAAGACUUGACCCGACCCGGCAUGGUCCAUUUGGGUUGCAUGGCAUCAUGCAUUUGGAAAGACUAUAAUGAGAGAAAUAAGACCUUAUGGUUAUUAAUUUAUUAUAAGUUCUAGUAUAUUAAUAAUAAGAAUAAUAAGAUUAUUUAAUUAGUAUUGAUCAAGAAUUAAUCUAGGAUUAAUUAAGUGAUCAAAAGAAGACUAAUUAAAUAUAUGGGUUGAUUGUGUAAAUCAUCCAUACUUGUAUAGUGGGCUAAUGCUCCAUGGAUAAUUGAACCCAUGGAUCCAAGGAAAUGGAAAGUCAUGACAAUUAGGGUUUACCCUAAUUGUAACACUAUAUAAAGAUCUUAUUCUUGACAAAAUCGGCCACCUAAGGAUCAUUCUAGAGAGGGCUAGCCGAUUUUCAUGAGUGUAGAAUUCUCUCAAGUUAUUCCAAGUGUAUUUGGUGUUGUGUGAACCAUUUGAGGUGUCACACUUGGGGCACUAGGCACUCAAGCUUCAUGAAGACUUUCUACAUCAAAGAGGUAUGUAUUCUAUCUUGUUANNNNNNNNNNNNNNNNNNNNNNNNNNNNNNNNNNNNNNNNNNNNNNNNNNNNNNNNNNNNNNNNNNNNNNNNNNNNNNNNNNNNNNNNNNNNNNNNNNNNNNNNNNNNNNNNNNNNNNNNNNNNNNNNNNNNNNNNNNNNNNNNNNNNNNNNNNNNNNNNNNNNNNNNNNNNNNNNNNNNNNNNNNNNNNNNNNNNNNNNNNNNNNNNNNNNNNNNNNNNNNNNNNNNNNNNNNNNNNNNNNNNNNNNNNNNNNNNNNNNNNNNNNNNNNNNNNNNNNNNNNNNNNNNNNNNNNNNNNNNNNNNNNNNNNNNNNNNNNUUUUUUGGCUAGAAAUGGACUACUAGGAACAUUACCAUAAGCUGUUUUUGGACUAAACAUGUUUUUGAUGUGGUAAUGUUCAUGCUAAUCCAAUUUCAAAGAUAAUUGUCAAUAGAUUCAUGUUUCGUAUUAGUUUAAGACUUAGACUAAUUACAUGAAAAAGUUUGCUUUGAAUUAUCUUGUUCUUAUGAGUUGCUUAGAUUAAUAGAAAAGUUGAGUGAAAUAUUGUUUUCAAUCCAAAUUAAUCGAUCAGAUGAUUCUAAAAUGUGUUUUUGUAACUUGUCCUCAAGUUAUAUGAAAAGUCACAUUUAAGAAUCAUAAAACUCAUAAAAAUUGGCAAAGGUUACAAAAAUGAAGAGUCUAGUUCUAAUUAAAUGGUUUUAUGACUCCAUAACUUGUCCUCAAGUUAUGGAGGACCAAGAGUCUCUUCAUUUAAUAAAAUAAAAAAAAAAAAAAAAAAGUGUAACCUUAAUUAAUUCCAUAAGUUAUAAAAUAAAGAAAAGUUAAUUCUUUUAUUAGUUUAAAGUCUUCCAUAACUUGUCCUCAAGUUAUGGAACUUGAAGAGUUUUUGGAUUAAAACUACUUUAAACACAUAAGUUAUGGAAUUAAUUAGUUUUGAAUAGUUUCAAAACUUGCCCUCAAGUUUUGGAAUUUGUAAAGUUUUCACUUAUGAAUACUUUAAUUCCAAGUUAGCCCUUAGAAUUUUAAAAGUUAAAAUUCAACCCUUAUACUUUAUAAUAUUAUAAGUUAAUAAUAUAUAUAUGUAUAAGAGUAAAGUCAGUCUUACCGCUAGUACGCCUCAUUCACGAAGCCGGUCUAUAAGGUGGGUAUAAGGUUGUUGCCUAUAAAAUGGCAACUUAAUGGGUGUCCACUCUCACCCACCGCUUGCUUGACUGGUGGAGGGUCGUUAGCCGAACGGGUUUGACAGGACUAGAAUUCUCCCUUCAUUAAAAGUAUUAAUGAUAAAUACUAAGUAACUAAACUGUUAAUAAUACUCAAUCUUAGUUACUUAGCAAAAUGUGAAUAAGGUGUAAUCCAUGAAAUUAUCACUUUGCACUUUGUUUAAGUCGGUUAGUGGAGCGUGUGUGGUUAACCGGCACACUAACUCGUAUUUAACAAGGUAGGCAAAGGGUAACUUAAUGUUUAUCAUAGUAUCGAUGGAGCGUGUGUGGUUAACCGGCACAUCGAUUGAGGGGUAAACACUUAAGGGUACCAAGUAAUUUGCAUGGUUACUUCACACCUUGUUUUGUGAUCCUCGGCAUCCCAGUCACAAAACCUGAAGGGCACACUCGAGAUUGAAACAUGCCAUUGAACAGUUCAAUGAAUCUCAAAGAUCUAGGAGUUUCAAAACCAAUUAAAACCUAAUAAUACAUUUCGUUUAUCUUGGUGGAAAUUGGUGAAUCGUCAUUCACCUACCUUCAAAUAUUUUAUAGCUUGGAUUACGGCAUACCUCUUCUAAGUUAUAAAAUAGUUUGUUGGGUCCUAGCCUUAAUAUUUCAUAUUGGGUGUCAUAUUAAGGACUUUAAAUCAACUAUCUUGAAUAUCUCCCAAAAGAUGUCUGGUUUAGACAUUUAUGAUCUUCCCAAAUCUCUUGAAACAAGGUUUCCUAAAUGAAGAUGAUGUCCCAUGGAAAUCAUACUUCUUUCACCUCUUCAAAUUAUUCUCCCUAACCCACAAGUUCUUGAAAAGUUUAAGGUCACUCAUGCCCUAUUGGCAAGCAAAUGUCUAUGUGUGAUCACAUCUUAGAGAUGUAGUCACAUAUUCACAAGCCGGGAGAGUUGGGUGUCAAAGUCUUGAGAAAGUUGGUGGCUCAACUACUUCCUAAGUCUCAUAGUGAGUUCCUUUGGGAUACCUAUGAAACAGACUAUGACAAGACCCUUAAUGAUCUUAUCUAUUUGUUAAGAUCAACUUCCUUAAAACUUGAUGGACAUUGACAAUAGUGACACAGGAAAUCCAGAAAAGCAUUCUCUUCCCAAUGGAAAGGGAUCGGCCAUAGUCAACUCGGUUGACCAAAUGGUAAAGAGAAAAGCUAAGUCUGUGAUAGUCCCGUGUACCAUUAUCAAAGGGUCCAUAUGUUUAUAUUGCCAAAGGAAGGGGCAUUGGUUGCGAAGCUGCCAAAUUUACCUAAGGAUGUUAAAGUCAAUAAGUUUGACUCUACUUCAGGUAAAGUCCACUAUCUAACUCUGUUAAGUUUCUAUUCUGAGAUUCCUGAUACAUGAUGUGACUGGGUCACAUGGUGAUGUUUUAAGAAUCUAAGAAAAGUGAAUAAACUUAAAGAAAGAAUAUGUUGAAUCUGAUCGCAUAGAUGGAUUUUUAUCGCGUAGUUUGAAGAUCGGAUUCUUGAGCUACUUCUUAGGAGUUAUGAGAUACUGCUUAGGAAUAGAUAACAACAAGUUUUCAUAUAGAUUGUAAUGAUAAGUUUUCCACAAAGUUUAAAAUAAAAAGGAAAAUUUUGAUUUCUUUUNUUGAGGAAAAAUUGUUGCUUAUAUGAUUCCAUUAAGAGCAAGAGUGGAAAUAUGAAGUUGAUUCUUUCAUUUGUGGUAAUGUCUAUAUUUACCAAAUAAGGAAAGAUUCUCAUCACCCAAGUUUCAGUUGGACCAAAACAUGGAAUCAUGCAAGUAGCAUAGCAUGAUGAAUGAGAACUUUCAAGUAUUGGAAAAAUUAAGACUAAUUACUCGGUCACAUGGAUGUGUGAGUCAAGUAAAGGACUAAGGGAUCGAAUGCACAUUAUUGUGCACUAAUUAAGUCCACCACAAAAGAUUGAUAAGACUAUUUGUCAUAGUUUACUAAAGCUCAGUGAAUAUGGUUAUACUUACAAGCUUAAUUGUAAUUCUGAGACAUUGGAAAAGGUUCCAAUGUAAGGCAGAGCGAAUAAGAAGAAUCAAAUUAGGCAGAAGGAUAGAAGUUUAUCAAAUCUGAAAAGAUUGGAGAGUAUUUUCGUAUCAGUUUUAUGAUCAUUUUAAUGAUUUCGAGACCUUAUCACAAUACAUCCUCUAAGUGCUUUCUUAUAGCUAAGAAGAGGAACUACGAAUUGUUGAAGUGGUUAAAUCAAGAAGAUGAUUCAUACUUCGUUCCAAAAACAAUUCUUAGAGUCAUACUCCAAGAUUGUAACUUGAGUGACAUGUCUCAAAGAAGGUUUAAAACACUUCUCAAAUGUAAGAGUAAAAGUUUUCUACUCUUGUACAUUUGAAAUUGGUAAGUUGUGAUGUUUUGGAUAAAACAAAGACCAACUUAGGCCAAUUGUGUGAAGUGUUUGUCUUGAUAAGAAUCCACACUAUCCCUUGAAUAUUUGACAAGAAAGUCUUAUAGGCCAAUAGGACAGUGGGAGUCUUAAAGGUCUUGAAAGUCUCAAGAACUAAUCAAGAAUAAAACCUGAAGUUCUUCACUAGCACACGACUUGAGGUUUAUAACCUAUCGUGUUGACAUAUUCCGUGCCUAUUCUAGUUAAAGUUGGCAUUGCAUAUGAGUUCUUAGUGUUCUCAAUGUGUUGCGCAACAACUUGGAAGCAAUGGCAGGCCCUUGAGCUGCCAGGUGGCAAGAAGUUAAGAUUGAGUUCAAUCCAUAUGAGGUUGGAUUUGUCAUUAUCCUUGUCUUGUGACUAUGGGUUUGACAAUUCACAUGGAUAAGAACACAUACACCAAUAAAUCUAAGUGUCAUAAGGUUUCUCUCUGAUUCUUGAAAAUGAUGGUGAGGAAACACUUUCACUAAGUAGAUUUUAGCUAGAUAGCAAUUGUGAUAUUUUCAUUCUCAAAGUCGUUA